Molecule: ribosomal RNA, 253 nt
Filed under: uncultured bacterium
Lineage: Bacteria
Description: partial 16S ribosomal RNA
Rfam family: Bacterial small subunit ribosomal RNA
Source: RNAcentral
UACGUAGGGACCGAGCGUUGUCCGGAUUCAUUGGGCGGAAAGAGCUCGUAGGCGGCCACUCAAGUCGAAUGUGAAACCUCGAGGCUUAACCUCGAGCCUGCAUUCGAUACUGGGCGGCUAGAGUCUGGUAGGGGGAUCUGGAAUUCCUGGUGUAGCGGUGGAAUGCGCAGAUAUCAGGAGGAACACCGGUGGCGAAGGCGGGAUCCUGGGCCAGUACUGACGCUGAGGAGCGAAAGCGUGGGGAGCAAACAGG